GAUGAACGCUGGCGGCGUGCCUAAUACAUGCAAGUCGAGCGAACAGACGCUGAUUUUGCUCCUCUGACGUUACCGGCGGACGGGUGAGUAGCACGUGGAUAACCCUCCUCUUAGACUUGGAUAACUUCGGGAAACCGGAACUAAUACCAGAUAAUAUAUUGAAGCGCAUGGUUCAAUAGUGAAAGACGGUUUGGCUUUCACUUAUAGACGGUCCCCCGCCGCAUUGGGUAGUUGGUAAGGAAACGGCUUACCAAGGCGACGAUGCGUAGCCGAAGUGGGAGAGUGGUCGGCCACACGGGAACUGAGACACGGUCCAGACUCCUAAGGGAGGCAGCAGUAGGGAAUCUGAGGCAGUGGGCGAAAGCCUGACGGAGCAACGCCGAGUGAGUGAUGAAGGUCUUCGGAUCGUAAAACUCUGUUAUUAGGGAAGAACAAAUGUGUAAGUAAAUAUGCACGUCUUGACGGUACCUGAACAGGAAGCAACGGCUAACUACGUG
RNAcentral lists this ribosomal RNA (497 nucleotides) under uncultured bacterium. Its description in RNAcentral is "partial 16S ribosomal RNA". It matches the Rfam family "Bacterial small subunit ribosomal RNA", at positions 28 to 507 of the family's 1533-position model. The record is from RNAcentral.